Molecule: long non-coding RNA, 1157 nt
Filed under: Heterocephalus glaber (naked mole-rat)
Lineage: Eukaryota; Metazoa; Chordata; Mammalia; Rodentia; Bathyergidae
Description: lncRNA (ENSHGLG00100051947.1)
Source: RNAcentral
CUUCCCGGCUGGUCUCAUUGGAACAACCAAGAGGACAGGGUCCUCCAAGAUUCCUAGAGGGAAUGCUAAGAAGGCUCCUGAGACUUUUGCCUUUCCCCAAGGAAUAAAAGAGGUCACAUGAUGACAGCUGUGCCCUUAACAUCCAGAUCCCAGGUGGGCUGGCUUUCCUUUGGACAUAUAUGUGUAUAUACAUGCUUGUUUAUGUGCAUUCAUAAAUAUCUUUGUUUAUGCACUUUGUGCAUGUGUUAAUAGAUAUGCAAAACAUUUUAUAUGGAAAUUUCUUCCUGAGAACUAACUUAUUUACAACACAAGUCUUAAAUGUAUAGCUCACUUUUAGAAAUGUACACACCUAUAUUACCAUCACCCAUGUCAAGAUCUAAAACAUUAUUAGCAUCCCAAGAAGCCUUCUUUUAUGUCCUCUCCUAAGCAUCCCCCUGUCCCAAAGUUAACCACUAUUCUGAUCUCUAUCAGUAUAGAUUUUGUUUAUUCUGGAGCCUUGUAUAAAUGGAAUCCUUCAGUAUGUACUCUUGGAUCUGCCUUUUUCAUGUAACAUUAUGUCUGUGAACUUGGCACCCAUGGUGUUGCAUACACCAGUAUUUAUUCUUUUUUAUCGCUAACUAGCUUUCCACUAUCUGAUUAUACCACAUUUUAUCUCUUCAUUCUACUAUAGAUGGGCUUUUGUUGUUUCUAGUUUUUCACUCCUGCAAAAUAAGAAUACAUUGGACAUUUUGUGGACACAAGCACUCAUUCUUUUGGUUUUAUCUCUAGGAGUGAAAUCGCUAGAGUGCAGGUUAUACCUUUAGUUAGUUUUAGUAGAUACUGCCCCCAAAUUUUCCAAAAUAGUUGUUCUAGUUUAUAUUUUUACCAACAGCAUACCAUUGCUUCACAUGUUUACUAAUUCUUGUGUCAUUUGUUCAUAGUAUCUCAUUGAGGUUUUUAAAAUUUCUUCUCCAAUAAGCAGUAAUGCUCAGUCAGCAACAUUUUAUAGGGCUAUUGCCUACAUGAAUAUUCUCUCAUGUGAAGUCCCUAUUCAGAUAUUUUUCCUAUUUUUUGUUACAUUAUGUACCUCUUUUUUCCCCAAGUUACAGUAAUUUUGUAUUUGUUAAGGAUAUAAAUCUUUUGCCAGAUAAAUAUCUUAUGAACUAUCUUCUCCCGGU